UACAGAGGGUGCGAGCGUUAAUCGGAAUUACUGGGCGUAAAGCGCACGUAGGCGGCUUGGUAUGUCGGGUGUGAAAUCCCCGGGCUCAACCUGGGAACUGCAUCCGAAACUGCCUUGCUAGAGUAUGGGAGAGGGAAGUGGAAUUUCCGGUGUAGCGGUGAAAUGCGUAGAUAUCGGAAGGAACGCCGGUGGCGAAAGCGACAGACUGGACCUCUACUAACGCUGAGGCGCGAAAGCUAGGGGAGCAAACGGG
This 253-nucleotide ribosomal RNA is filed under the name uncultured bacterium. RNAcentral's name for it is "partial 16S ribosomal RNA". It matches the Rfam family "Bacterial small subunit ribosomal RNA", at positions 524 to 776 of the family's 1533-position model. The record is from RNAcentral.